Molecule: ribosomal RNA, 558 nt
Filed under: Pediculus humanus (human louse)
Lineage: Eukaryota; Metazoa; Arthropoda; Insecta; Psocodea; Pediculidae
Description: partial 12S ribosomal RNA
Source: RNAcentral
UAAAGUCAAAUUAAUUGGUUAAAGCUAAUUAAAUAGUUACUGUAAAGUACAACAACUCUACUUAUUACUGUAAGAGUAAAAUCUUUAUAAAUAAGAUAGGAAUGUGUUUAUGUAACAUUAAUUCUCUUACGAGGCGCUAACAUAAAGACUAGGAUUAGAUACCCUAUUAUGGGCGUGAGUAUGAAAGUUUAUUAAGUUAAUAGCCUUAAUUAAAGCAAAAUCUAUUUACUAUGGCGGCUGUUAGUCUCACCAGAGUCGUAUGUCCUUAAACGAAACUGCGCGACCAUCUUACCUUUUAACUUUUGCUUACAUAAAAUAAUUACACUAUAGCAAUCUGGCACGUCGCUGUACUAAAAGUGAAGAUUUUAAAUAACUCAUCUUCUAAUUACUUACUAACAUUUAUUAGUAACGUACAAGUCAAGACGCCGUUUUAAGAGGCUUAAGAUGUACGAUUUAAUUGGUUUGAUAGAAUUCAUAAGAAUGAAAACUUUCUUUAUUAAAAUAAUUUGGAAGUAAAAUAGGGUUAUUAUUCUUAUUUGAAAUGAGCUACUAAUAAGU